Molecule: RNA transcript, 1999 nt
Organism: Mustela erminea (ermine)
Lineage: Eukaryota; Metazoa; Chordata; Mammalia; Carnivora; Mustelidae
Gene: HEXB
Gene name: hexosaminidase subunit beta
Exons: 14
Source: RefSeq, a predicted model, not a curated record
UCGGGCGGGGCGCGCGGUCAGCUGACUCCCCCACCCCCGCGCUCCGCACUUCCUCCUCCCGGUCGGCGGGGAGGCCAGGUGGGCAUCCUCCCGCUCGCGCACACCCGGGCGGAGCGAACAACCGGGCGGCCAUGGAGCAGCGCGGGCUGGGGCUCCCGGCGCUGCUGGCGCUGCUGGCAGCGCUGGCCCCACGCUCCUUCGCCGCGCCGGGCCCGACCCUGUGGCCUAUGCCGCUCUCGGUGAAGCUGUCUCCGCGCCUGCUGGUCGUCUCCCGCGAGAACUUCUCCUUCUCCUACGACCCCUCGUCCACCGCCGGCCCCUCUUGCUCCCUCCUGCAAGAAGCGUUCCGGCGAUACCAUGACUAUAUUUUUGAUCUCAAAAAGUCACAGCUCGGCCCUCCUAAACGUAAUAGUGCAGUGGAGUUAAAGCAACUUCUCGUCUCAGUUGUCCUGGAAUCGGAGUGUGAUCUUUACCCCAAUAUCACUUCAGAUGAGUCCUAUACGUUAGCUGUGGCAGGACCAGUGGCUUUUCUCAAGGCCAACAGAGUUUGGGGAGUAUUACGAGGUUUAGAGACCUUUAGCCAAUUAAUUUAUCAAGAUUCUUAUGGGACUUUCACCAUCAAUGAGGCUAACAUUAUUGAUUCUCCACGGUUUCCACACAGAGGAAUUUUAAUUGAUACAGCUAGACACUUCCUGCCCAUUAAGAGUAUACUUAAAACUCUGGAUGCCAUGGCUUUUAAUAAGUUUAAUGUUCUCCACUGGCACAUUGUUGAUGACCAGUCUUUCCCUUACCAGAGCGUUGCUUUUCCUGAGUUAAGCAACAAAGGAAGCUAUUCUUUGUCUCACGUGUAUACACCAAAUGAUGUCCGUGCGGUGAUAGAAUAUGCCCGAUUACGAGGCAUUCGAGUCCUACCAGAAUUUGAUAGUCCUGGACAUACACAGUCUUGGGGAAAAGGUCAGAAAAACCUCCUGACUCCAUGUUACAAUGGACCUGAGCAGUCUGGGACCUUUGGACCUAUAAACCCUAUUCUGAAUUCAACUUACUGCUUCCUGGCUCAGUUUUUCAAAGAAGUUGGUACAGUGUUUCCAGAUCACUUCGUUCACUUGGGAGGAGAUGAAGUGGACUUUACAUGUUGGGAGUCCAACCCAGAAGUCCUAGAUUUCAUGAAGCGGAAGGGCUUUGGCAGAGAUUUUCAAAGACUGGAAUCUUUCUAUAUUCAAAAGCUUUUGUAUAUUGUUUCAACUAUAAACAAGGGAGCCAUAGUCUGGCAAGAGGUUUUUGAUGAUCAUGUUAAGCUUAAGCCAGGCACAAUUGUUCAAGUAUGGAAACAGGAAAUGUAUCCUGAAAAACAAGCUCAAGUCACAGCAGCUGGCUUCCCUAUGAUCCUUUCUGCUCCUUGGUACUUAGAUUGGAUUAGUUACGGACAAGAUUGGAGAAAGUUCUAUACCGUGGACCCUCUUGAUUUUGAUGGUUCUCAAGAACAGAAAGAACUGGUCAUUGGUGGAGAAGCUUGUCUGUGGGGAGAAUUUGUGGAUGCAACUAACCUCACUCCAAGAUUAUGGCCUCGGGCAAGUGCCAUUGGUGAGAGACUCUGGAGUCCAAAGAACAUCAAAGAUCUAGAAGAUGCCUACAACAGACUAACCGUUCACCGCUGCCGGAUGACCAGGUAAGAGCUUUUUAAAGCUAGGACACUAAGUCCAAGUGACCUUUAACAGUUUCCAAGUAAGUCACUGAUUUUUAUAGUAAAGGUGUAUAUAAAAAUGCACCAAAUUUUGAUAUAACUUUUAAAUCCACUUUGUUCUGUAGACGGGGAAUAGCUGCAGAACCUCUUUUUACUGGAUAUUGUGAAUACUGAGUACAAAACCAAAAAUGAGCUUAAAGAAGAAAACAGGAGGAGACAAAGCCCACAGCAAUCUGUUCCACACUCAACUUGAUUUUGAAAUCAUGGAAAUUGAGAUUUCAUAUUGUUUUUAAAUAAAGUAUCUUUUUGAAGACUGAA